This is a long non-coding RNA of Zingiber officinale, 743 nucleotides long. RefSeq lists it as uncharacterized. Lineage: Eukaryota; Viridiplantae; Streptophyta; Magnoliopsida; Zingiberales; Zingiberaceae. The record is from RefSeq and is a predicted model, not a curated record. The transcript has 3 exons.
UUCCCCUUGCCGAACCCGAGCGCGCCUCGCAUCCUCUCCGCGCACCCGACGCCGCCGACGCCUUCUCCUCCUUGCCCUAACCGUCGGCCCCGGCGGUUCUCUCCUCUGCCGACGCCGGCGACCCUCCUCUCUGCCUUGGUCUCUGCCGCCGGCGACGAGAGCCACCGCCGACCCCCUGUUGCCCUAGCCGUGGGGAUACCGAGCACAGGGCCGACCGAGCCCCCCAUCCCGAUCCUUUCCUCUUUGCUCCAAGUCGUGCCCUAGUGCUUUACUGCCGUCGCUGCUCCUCUGCACAGUGUCGGCCAGUGAACCCUAGCUCCGGUUGCCACCACCUCUGUGCCAACGGCCAACGCCACUGCUUCUCCUAUGGGGCUUCUUCCAGAUUCAACGAGGGACGAACCUUUGAGACACCCUCUCCUCUUCGGUAUCAAGAGGAAGAGUUUUGUGUUCACCAAAACAGUACUUGGAUCUCGUUCAUUCUGGAGAAAUUUCAGAUUAGGGUUUAUCUGUUUGGGAGAUUGGCAAUUUAUCCUUGCUCCGACUGUUGAUUUACAGAAGCAACGUUUCCAAUCAGAUUUGGACAAGUUGUAGAGGACUCUGAUUCGAGACCGUAUCUCGACGGGUAUCUUGAUUCCCGGAUUGGACCAUUUUAUCGGAGGCGGGUACUUUGACUUAUGUCUUUUGAUAUGCAUAAUAAAGUGUUUAACAUAUAGCAAUGAUUGUGUUAUCCUUUUGAUUCGGUU